RNAcentral lists this ribosomal RNA (291 nucleotides) under Acinetobacter baumannii. Its description in RNAcentral is "partial 23S ribosomal RNA". It matches the Rfam family "Bacterial large subunit ribosomal RNA", at positions 2635 to 2925 of the family's 2925-position model. The record is from RNAcentral. Lineage: Bacteria; Pseudomonadati; Pseudomonadota; Gammaproteobacteria; Moraxellales; Moraxellaceae.
UCCCUAUCCGUCGCGGGCGCAGGAAAUUUGAGAGGAGCUGUCCUUAGUACGAGAGGACCGGGAUGGACGCACCGCUGGUGUACCAGUUGUUCUGCCAAGGGCAUCGCUGGGUAGCUAUGUGCGGACGGGAUAAGUGCUGAAAGCAUCUAAGCAUGAAGCCCCCCUCAAGAUGAGAUUUCCCAUUCCGCAAGGAAGUAAGAUCCCUGAAAGAUGAUCAGGUUGAUAGGUCUGAGGUGGAAGUGUGGCGACACAUGGAGCUGACAGAUACUAAUCGAUCGAGGACUUAACCAU